GAUGAACGCUGGCGGCGUGCCUAAUACAUGCAAGUCGAGCGAACAGACGAGGAGCUUGCUCCUCUGACGUUAGCGGCGGACGGGUGAGUAACACGUGGAUAACCUACCUAUAAGACUGGGAUAACUUCGGGAAACCGGAGCUAAUACCGGAUAAUAUAUUGAACCGCAUGGUUCAAUAGUGAAAGACGGUUUUGCUGUCACUUAUAGAUGGAUCCGCGCCGCAUUAGCUAGUUGGUAAGGUAACGGCUUACCAAGGGAACGAUGCGUAGCCGACCUGAGAGGGUGAUCGGCCACACUGGAACUGAGACACGGUCCAGACUCCUACGGGAGGGAGCAGUAGGGAAUCUUCCGCAAUGGUCGAAAGCCUUACGGAGCAACGCCGCGUGAGUGAUGAAGGUCUUCGGAUCGUAAAACUCUGUUAUUAGGGAAGAACAAAUGUGUAAGUAACUAUGCACGUCUUGACGGUACCUAAUCAGAAAGCCACGGCUAACUACGUG
This 497-nucleotide ribosomal RNA is filed under the name uncultured bacterium. RNAcentral describes it as "partial 16S ribosomal RNA". It matches the Rfam family "Bacterial small subunit ribosomal RNA", at positions 28 to 507 of the family's 1533-position model. The record is from RNAcentral.